This 2339-nucleotide long non-coding RNA is filed under the name Homo sapiens (human). RNAcentral's name for it is "HSALNT0142198". Lineage: Eukaryota; Metazoa; Chordata; Mammalia; Primates; Hominidae. The record is from RNAcentral.
GCCUCCUUGAGGUGUGGUGGGCUCCACCCAGUUCGAGCUUCCCAGCUGCUUUGUUUACCUAAGCAAGCCUGGGCAAUGGCGGGCGCCCCUCCCCCAGCCUUGGUGCCGCCUUGCAGUUUGAUCUCAGACUGCUGUGCUAGCAAUCAGCGAGACUCUGUGGGACCCUCCGAGCCAUGUGCGGGAUAUAAUCUUGUGGCGCGCCGUUUUUUAAGCCGGUCCAAGAAGCGCAAAAUUCUGGUGGGAGUGACCCGAUUUUCCAGGCGGACCAGAACUCCUUGAAGAAAUGACUAAUCCUUGAGCUUAGAAGGAAGAAUGGACCAGACACCAGAAGCCCUUAUGUGACAUCAGAACCAGAUCCUAAUUUCAGAUUUCCUCUUCUAUAAUACUUACCACUGCAUGUAUGGGUAACAUUUAACACUUUUUAUAACAUUGCAAGAGGAUCACGGAUUGGGGAUCUAGGACUGAUUAUAUUCUGACUGCCACUUCUGCCAUAAGUAAUACAGUGUUUGUGUUUCUAGUCUUAUGUCUUUGCAAGUACAGCAAAGGCUCAGACCUUCACAGUUCCUAACUCAACAGACACAAUCUACCAUGUUAAUAUAAUCUGCAACCCUCAUUCUUAAUUAUUUAGGCAUUGUACGCACUGUUCAUGUAAAGCAUUUCCCUGAAUACUGGCACAGAUUUUUUAAAAUAGACUUUUUAAUUUUGAAAUAAUUGUAUAUACAUGUACAGAAUAAAAAACACAAGGAGAUUCUAUGUUCAUCUUGCUCAAUUUCCCAAAUGAUAUCUUGUAAAACUAUGGUAUACAAUAUCACUACCAAUAUAUUCCAUUGAUAGAAUCCACUAAUAUUACUCAGAUAUAUUUGAUUGUACCUGUAUUUAUUCAUGUGUGUCUGUGUGAUUUUAGUUCUAUAUGAUUUAUCACAUGUGUAGGCUUAUAUAAAUUACAGGGGUCAAAGUACACAAUAGUUCCAUUGCUACAAGGAUCCCUUCCACAGCUCUUUCAUAAUCACAACCAAUUACACCACAGAUAAUAAUCCAUUCUCAAUUUCUAUAAUUUUGUCAUGUCAAGAAUAUUAUAUUAAGGAAACAAUACAGUUAAUAAUUUUGGGGACUGGCUUGUUUACACUCUGCAUAAUUCCCUGAAGGUUCAUCCAAAUUGUAGCAUGUGUUCAGUUGUUUAUUCUCUUUUAUUGCUGAGUAGUAUUCUAGGAUAUGGGUAUAAUACAGUUUGUUUAACCAUAUAUCCAUGUAACCAUGUAUAUAUCCAAAUGCCCAAGAAUAACAUUUGUGUUGUUUCCAGUUUGGACCUAUUAUGACAAAGAUGUUACAAACAUUUAUGUACACACAGAUUUUAUUGUAAACAUAAUUUUCAAUUGUCCUGGGACAAAUGUACAUGAAUGCAACUACUAGGUCUUAUUAAUUGCAUGAUUUUUUUAAUUAUUAAGAAAUUAUCAAAUUGCUUUACAGAGUGACAGUACCAUUUUAUAUACCCAUUAACAAUAUAUGACUAAUCCCAUUUGCACAAAUUCUUAUAAGCAUUUGGUGGUGCUUUUAUAUUAGCCAUUGUGAUAGAUGUAUUGUGAUAUCUCAUUGUAGUUUUAAUUUUCAGUUACCUAAUGGAUAAAGAUAUUAUAUUUAUAUGUGCUGCUUUGCCAUCUUUAUAUUCUUAUUUGUGAAAUAUCUGUUUAUGUCUUUUGCCCAUUUUAUAGUUGGAGUGUUUGUUUUUUGCUGUCUACUUUUCAGAGUUUCUUUGUGUAUUUCUGAUACUCACAAUUUUAUAUGUGCUUUGCCAAUUGAUAUAAUUAUGUGAUUUUUCUCUUUUGGUCUAUUGACAUGAUGGAUUACAUUAUUUGAUUUUCAAAUGCUGAACCAACCCUACUACCUGGAAAAAUCUUGCUUGGUCAAUAAAUUACUGAAUCAAUUUGUCAAUAUUUUGUUGAGAAUGCUCACAUGUAUAAUUAUGAGAAAUACAGGCCUGUAUUUUAUUUUUUGUAUGGGUUUUGUUUGUCUAUUUUUGGCAUAGGAAUAAUAUGAGUCCCAUAAAAUAAGUUGGGGGAUAUGCCUUCCUCUUCUAUUUUCUGUUACAGAUUGUAUAAUAUUGGUAUUAGUUCUUCCUUAAAUGUUUGAUGAAAUUCUCCAGUGCAGCAGCUUAGGCAUGACCAGGAACUUAAUUAUAAAUUUAAUUCUUUCUAUGGUUAUAGAAGUAUUCAAAUUGCCUAUCUCAAUUAGGUUUGGUUAGUUUGUGUUUUUUGAAAGAAUUGUUCCAUAUUUUCUAAGUUUUUGAAUGGAUGAGCAUAAAGUAAUUUACAGUAUUCUUAUUCUUUAAAUGAAUAAAGUAU